UACGUAGGGUGCAAGCGUUGUCCGGAAUUAUUGGGCGUAAAGAACUCGUAGGCGGUCUGUCGCGUCUGCUGUGAAAACUCGGGGCUUAACCCCGGGCCUGCAGUGGGUACGGGCAGACUAGAGUGCGGUAGGGGAGACUGGAAUUCCUGGUGUAGCGGUGAAAUGCGCAGAUAUCAGGAGGAACACCGAUGGCGAAGGCAGAUCUCUGGGCCGUAACUGGACGCUG
This 226-nucleotide ribosomal RNA is filed under the name uncultured bacterium. Its description in RNAcentral is "partial 16S ribosomal RNA". It matches the Rfam family "Bacterial small subunit ribosomal RNA", at positions 524 to 748 of the family's 1533-position model. The record is from RNAcentral.